RNAcentral lists this long non-coding RNA (967 nucleotides) under Androctonus crassicauda. The record is from RNAcentral. Lineage: Eukaryota; Metazoa; Arthropoda; Arachnida; Scorpiones; Buthidae.
GUCAACAUCACUAUAGUUGAUAGAAAAUUCUCAACAUCUGUAUAUAGAAAAGAGACUUAUACACCAGACUUUAUUCCCAAAUGGUCAUGUGAUCCUUUUAAGUAUAAAAUAGCCAUGUUCCAUUAUCUGUUACAAAGAAUGUACAUGCAUUGCUCUGAUGACUUAACUAAGCAAGCUGAAUAUAAUAUUAUAGUAGAUCAGGCAAUAUUGCAUGGGUAUGAUGAGCAUUCCUAAACAAUAUUGACAAAUCCAUCAGUAAAUAUGUGUAAACGAUCUUUACCACCCUGCGAUCUCACAACAAUAAUUUAAGACACACUUACACCCAUUUCAAUAUCAUAAAGCCAUUGAACCCCUAGACAAGGCAUUAUUAAAAGAUAAUAAAAUUUUACCAUAUAGUUAACUGCAUGCUAUGCUCCACACAUUAAAGAAUAUUAAGCACCAAUACUGCCAGUCCAGCAUGCUGGUAUAUAUAUCCCCAUUCAUAACAAUGAUUUCAAUAAGCCAGAAAUAUACAUGGGUAGUACUAUAAAGUCUUUAGACACUCAUUUAAAGGGUCACCAAAGCAGCAUAAAACAACAUGACCUUCAAUGCAGCAUUCGUCAAGCACUUUAACUGCUGUGAUGUCAUCAUCGACUGGAAUCAAGCAUGCAUUAUCAGAUUGAUAAGCAAAGCAACAGAAGAUAUCAGAAUGGUUGAAGCCAUUGUUAUUGAGGAAUAUAAUAAGAAGAUCCACAUCAUAAAUGAUAAUCAUCCCAUUAAUAUACUACCUCAAUGUCUUAUAUAAUCUCUAUACUUAACCAAUCCCCAUAUAUCUUUUGCUUAUUUUAUUUUAUUUAGGUGCAACAAAAUAAAAUAUGAUGCAUCCUUGUAACUAGAUUACUAAUGCUUUUUAACAUGUACAUAGUCUUAAUGAUUCUGUUUGUUCUUUUGUUCUAAAUAUUUGGGUUUAAAUACCAUUCUGCACUGC